GAUGAACGCUGGCGGCGUGCCUAAUACAUGCAAGUCGAGCGAACAGAUGAGGAGCUUGCUCCUCUGACGUUAGCGGCGGACGGGUGAGUAACACGUGGAUAACCUACCUAUAAGACUGGGAUAACUUCGGGAAACCGGAGCUAAUACCGGAUAAUAUAUUGAACCGCAUGGUUCAAUAGUGAAAGACGGUUUUGCUGUCACUUAUAGCUGGAUCCGCGCCGCAUUAGCUAGUUGUUAAGGUAACGGCUUACCAAGGCAACGAUGCGUAGCCGACCUGAGAGGGUGAUCGGCCACACUGGAACUGAGACACGGUCCAGACUCCUACGGGAGGCAGCAGUAGGGAAUCUUCCGCAAUGGGCGAAAGCCUGACGGAGCAAGGCCGCGUGAGUGAUGAAGGUCUUCGGAUCGUAAAACUCUGUUAUUAGGGAAGAACAAAUGUGUAAGUAAAUAUGCACGUCUUGACGGUACCUAAUCAGAAAGCCACGGCUAACUACGUG
RNAcentral lists this ribosomal RNA (497 nucleotides) under uncultured bacterium. Its description in RNAcentral is "partial 16S ribosomal RNA". It matches the Rfam family "Bacterial small subunit ribosomal RNA", at positions 28 to 507 of the family's 1533-position model. The record is from RNAcentral.